UGUGUCUUUGUUAGCCUCUGUAUAAUCUCAGCACCCAGAACCAAAUCAGCUCAUGUUAAGCCUGUCAUGAGAGCCUCUGUAAUGCAUACCACAUUUCUGUGACCAACACAGAUCAGACCUAAUAUUGCCAAAUUAAUGGGAUACCUCCUCCAACAUCCUUCACUUUCAAUGUAAGGCCAGGAAUAACUCUCAAAGACAUGCCUUGUUUGGGUUUUUCUAUUUUCAUAGGGAUCCCAAGGCUCUCGUGAUCAUUUGUAAAGUAACUCUAAACUCCAGUCCCUUAUGGGCAGCUUUUAUUUGAGAAAACAUCAUUUUAUAGUGCUGAAGAUGCAAUACUGGAUGGACGUCUUUUUAGUGUUCACUUUACUCUCUUUACUCUCUAGAAGGCAGCGGCAAUUUCUCCAUACUGGGAACAGGUUUUACAUACUGGGAAACAGGUUUUACAUACUGGGGAACAGGUUUUACAUACUGGGGAACAGGUUUUACAUACUGGGGAACAGGUUUUACAUACUGGGGAACAGGUUUUACAUACUGGGGAACAGGUUUUACAUACUGGGGAACAGGUUUUACAUACUGGGGAACAGGUUUUACAUACUGGGGAACAGGUUUUACAUACUGGGGAACAGGUUUUACAUACUGGGGGAACAGGUUUUACAUACUGGGGGACAGGUUUUACAUACUGGGGAACAGGUUUUACAUACUGGGGGACAGGUUUUACAUACUGGGGAACAGGUUUUACAUACUGGGGGAACAGGUUUUACAUACUGGGGAACAGGUUUUACAUACUGGGGAACAGGUUUUACAUACUGGGGGAACAGGUUUUACAUACUGGGGAACAGGUUUUACAUACUGGGGAACAGGUUUUACAUAUUAUAUUAUUAAACAGAUAUUAUAUUGAAACAGAAAAAUAAUCUCAAUAUAGUUUAUGCACUACCACAAUACCUAAACACCAGCUGUGUAGUCAGAAAUGAGAUGCCCAGUUAUGCAGUCACAGGUAACAGUAGUGUAAAGCACUGGACUUCUCCUGCAUUGAUCCUGUUUUAAUCCUGGUGUUUGUGUGUGUGUUUGUGUGUGUGUC
Oncorhynchus keta (chum salmon) is the source of this 1078-nucleotide long non-coding RNA. RefSeq lists it as uncharacterized. The transcript has 5 exons. The record is from RefSeq and is a predicted model, not a curated record. NCBI's taxonomy places the organism in Eukaryota, Metazoa, Chordata, Actinopteri, Salmoniformes, Salmonidae.